UACGUAGGGUGCAAGCGUUGUCCGGAAUUAUUGGGCGUAAAGAGCUCGUAGGCGGUCUGUUGCGUCGGCUGUGAAAACCCGGGGCUCAACUCCGGGCCUGCAGCCGAUACGGGCAGACUAGAGUUCGGCAGGGGAGACUGGAAUUCCUGGUGUAGCGGUGAAAUGCGCAGAUAUCAGGAGGAACACCGGUGGCGAAGGCGGGUCUCCGGGCCGAUACUGACGCUGAGGAGCGAAAGCGUGGGGAGCGAACAGG
This 253-nucleotide ribosomal RNA is filed under the name uncultured bacterium. RNAcentral's name for it is "partial 16S ribosomal RNA". It matches the Rfam family "Bacterial small subunit ribosomal RNA", at positions 524 to 776 of the family's 1533-position model. The record is from RNAcentral.